GUACACUCCUACGGGAGGCAGCAGUGGGGAAUUUUGAACAAUGGGCGAAAGCCUGAUCCAGCCAUGUCGCGUGCAGGAUGAAGGCCUUCGGGUUGUAAACUGCUUUUGUACGGAACGAAACGGCCUUUUCUAAUAAAGAGGGCUAAUGACGGUACCGUAAGAAUAAGCACCGGCUAACUACGUGCCAGCAGCCGCGGUAAUACGUAGGGUGCAAGCGUUAAUCGGAAUUACUGGGCGUAAAGCGUGCGCAGGCGGUUAUGUAAGACAGUUGUGAAAUCCCCGGGCUCAACCUGGGAACUGCAUCUGUGACUGCAUAGCUAGAGUACGGUAGAGGGGGAUGGAAUUCCGCGUGUAGCAGUGAAAUGCGUAGAUAUGCGGAGGAACACCGAUGGCGAAGGCAAUCCCCUGGACCUGUACUGACGCUCAUGCACGAAAGCGUGGGGAGCAAACAGGAUUAGAUACCCUAGUAGUCCC
This 474-nucleotide ribosomal RNA is filed under the name uncultured organism. RNAcentral's name for it is "partial 16S ribosomal RNA". It matches the Rfam family "Bacterial small subunit ribosomal RNA", at positions 331 to 797 of the family's 1533-position model. The record is from RNAcentral.